Molecule: ribosomal RNA, 253 nt
Filed under: uncultured bacterium
Lineage: Bacteria
Description: partial 16S ribosomal RNA
Rfam family: Bacterial small subunit ribosomal RNA
Source: RNAcentral
UACGAAGGGGGCUAGCGUUGUUCGGAAUCACUGGGCGUAAAGCGCACGCAGGCGGUUCACACAGUCAGGCGUGAAAUUCCUGGGCUUAACCUGGGGGCUGCGUUUGAUACGUGUGGGCUUGAGGGUGGAAGAGGCUCGUGGAAUUCCCAGUGUAGAGGUGAAAUUCGUAGAUAUUGGGAAGAACACCGGUGGCGAAGGCGGCGAGCUGGUCCAUUUCUGACGCUGAGGCGCGAAAGCGUGGGGAGCAAACAGG